Osmia bicornis bicornis is the source of this 156-nucleotide long non-coding RNA. RefSeq lists it as uncharacterized. The record is from RefSeq and is a predicted model, not a curated record. The transcript has 3 exons. NCBI's taxonomy places the organism in Eukaryota, Metazoa, Arthropoda, Insecta, Hymenoptera, Megachilidae.
GCUCAGUUUCAUACGAACAGCGAUUCGAACAAGUGAAUAACCCCGAAAGAAUAAAAAAAUUAAAAACAAUUAAAAGAUGGCCGAAUCAGAGAACAAUUAUCAACAAAUAGUCAGAGACAUUCAGCUGAUGCUGCAGCAGCAGGAAGAAAACCAUCU